RNAcentral lists this long non-coding RNA (339 nucleotides) under Bos taurus (domestic cattle). Its description in RNAcentral is "long non-coding RNA NONBTAT023920". Lineage: Eukaryota; Metazoa; Chordata; Mammalia; Artiodactyla; Bovidae. The record is from RNAcentral.
GAUGAAAAUGCCCAUCCCUAUACACAGCCCCAUGACCCUGAAAGUUCUGGUGGAAUUCUAAGCCUAAGAAUUUGAUCGUAGAGCUACCAAAAAAAAAAAAGCUAUAACUUCAAUAUUUCUUUCAAGUCUUUGUAUUACUAAGGGUAGAACUGUAGUAGACUUUAGCAACAACUCAGUGGAAGUGCUGGCAGUACAAAGCUGGGCCCUCGACUGGUGGAGAUUUCACAUUAAACAUUCCACAUCAUAAUUAUAUUAUUGAAUUUAUUAUCAAAAAACUAUUGUGAGUGCAGAAAUAUGUUAUGCAACAAAAUGGUGGUAGAGAAUAUGGUUUGGAAGGAG